Molecule: long non-coding RNA, 1574 nt
Organism: Pseudoliparis swirei
Lineage: Eukaryota; Metazoa; Chordata; Actinopteri; Perciformes; Liparidae
Exons: 2
Source: RefSeq, a predicted model, not a curated record
CCCCUUGACACGUGCUGUGUUUCGGCGCCACGUUCCUGCGCUCGUGCACAUUUCCUUUAACUUUGGAAAUUUCUGAAACUAAGAUGUCAUGUUAUUGAAUUCAGCGCUUUAUUUGUUAAAGCUGUUGACCGGAAGAGAUGUGUUGGACUGAAGACUAACUUGACGUCGAAUAGCAACGUCCGAUUUUCCAACAGUCGGUAAUAAAACCGUCUUUUUCCAAAACAACACACAACACCACGCCGGCAACAGCAGGACGGAUGUGCAUCAUCAUCAUCUUCAUCUUCAUCAUCUCACUAUCGUCUGACACCCGCGGUGCAGCAGGGCCAGUAAGCGGCUGGCGUCCGGCUGCGGGCGGCCCUCUCAAUGGUCUCUCCCACCAUGAAAGCGUUGGUGGAUGCCGCAUGGGUGGUGUGGAGCAUCGGGGCCUCCGUCUAUGACUACAUCCACACCAACGCCAUGGAGGAGCGUAUCCACGCCCUGGAGGACGUCAUCACCGUCCACCAAUGUGCGAUUGGACUUCUGUCUGCGGGCGUGUUAGUCCUCUUCACCUACAUCCUCUUGAAGAAGCUCUGAGGACACUGAAAUGCCGACCUGACAUUUUUUUGUAACACAUUUUCAUAUUUUCUCAGUUUGGAUACAAAAAGAGCGUUGACACAGACGCACCGUUAUAGCAGCAGUAAACUGGUCAUUUGCAUAAUAGUCCAAGUUCCUUAAUAUAUCAGCGCACCAGAAUACACUGUAUAGUAUUCAAACUCCAUUUACACGAAGAAGCUGAUUAAAUGUGGUUUUGGUAAUUCUCCAAUUUGCUAAAGGGAUCAUUGUCAAAACUAAUUCUGCCUUUAAAGUACGUGUUUGUUUUGUUUUUUAGGCUCUCUAUGUCGUUUUUAUGUUCGCACUACUUUCCUCAAAGCCUGACUGAGAUCAGGAAAAGCUUAUUCCCCUGAAACUAGUAUCUUGAGUGUUGAGGAACUUUUUAUUAUCUCAACGGUCAUUUUUAGAAAUGUAAUUAUCCGUUCCAUUCAUGUGAACGAGACACACGAUUAGUUUAGUGGGCAAAAUUCUAAGUUACUGUGCCCUAAAAUAAAAUGUGUUUUUGGGCCAUAACUGAAGAAUUGAUAUGACAAUUAUGUUAAUUUACACAGUCUCCCAAGAUAAAAUUAAAUUUCUGAAACAUGGAUGUAAACUGUUACUUGACUGGUUGGUGGAGGCAGACAACCACAAGGAGGAAGAAAACUGGUAAAACUGUUUUAUGGGUGUAUUAUUAAUUAUUAUAUUCAUUUGUAUAAUGCUUUUUAAACAAACCUCUUUUAUACCUCGUAGUAGUUGAUAUAUAUUUAUGGAGGUGCCACUGCUGGCUUAAAGUGUCCUUAAAAACUAAUUGUAAAUAUAUAUACAUAUAUGCGUAUAAUAUAUAUUUUAACUUAUUUUUGUUGCUGGCCAUUGAACUAUCUCAGAGUGCUACUGCUGCUUGAUAUUUAUGGAUGUUUUUUUAAGGCAGCGCGUUGUACAGUGACUCUUGGUACCGACUACCAACAAGUGGAUUGUUGUGUGAAAUAAAAAUGUUUUGAAUUUUU